CAUGGCUCAGGAUGAACGCUGGCGGCGUGCUUAACACAUGCAAGUCGAACGAAGCGCAUUGUUUGAAUUCUUCGGAAGGAAGAUAAUGUGACUGAGUGGCGGACGGGUGAGUAACGCGUGGGUAACCUGCCAUGUACAGGGGGACAACAGUUGGAAACGGCUGCUAAUACCGCAUAAGCGCACGAGAUUGCAUGAUCUAGUGUGAAAAACUCCGGUGGUAUAUGAUGGACCCGCGUCUGAUUAGCUAGUUGGUAAGGUAACGGCUUACCAAGGCGACGAUCAGUAGCCGACCUGAGAGGGUGACCGGCCACAUUGGGACUGAGACACGGCCCAGACUCCUACGGGAGGCAGCAGUGGGGAAUAUUGCACAAUGGGCGAAAGCCUGAUGCAGCGACGCCGCGUGAACGAAGAAGUAUUUCGGUAUGUAAAGUUCUAUCAGCAGGGAAGAAGAAAUGACGGUACCUGACUAAGAAGCCCCGGCUAACUACGUGCCAGCAGCCGCGGUAAUACGUAGGGGGCAAGCGUUAUCCGGAUUUACUGGGUGUAAAGGGAGCGCAGGCGGCCCGGCAAGUCUGAUGUGAAAACCCAAGGCUCAACCAUGGGAUUGCAUUGGAAACUGUCGAGCUAGAGUAUCGGAGGGGUAAGUGGAAUUCCUAGUGUAGCGGUGAAAUGCGUAGAUAUUAGGAGGAACACCAGUGGCGAAGGCGGC
This 709-nucleotide ribosomal RNA is filed under the name Lachnobacterium sp. G21. RNAcentral describes it as "bacterial SSU rRNA". It matches the Rfam family "Bacterial small subunit ribosomal RNA", at positions 18 to 725 of the family's 1533-position model. Lineage: Bacteria; Bacillati; Bacillota; Clostridia; Lachnospirales; Lachnospiraceae. The record is from RNAcentral.